UCACUCCUGCGGGAGGCAGCAGUGGGGAAUUUUGGACAAUGGGCGAAAGCCUGAUCCAGCAAUGCCGCGUGUGUGAAGAAGGCCUUCGGGUUGUAAAGCACUUUUGUCCGGAAAGAAAUCCUUGGCUCUAAUACAGUCGGGGGAUGACGGUACCGGAAGAAUAAGCACCGGCUAACUACGUGCCAGCAGCCGCGGUAAUACGUAGGGUGCGAGCGUUAAUCGGAAUUACUGGGCGUAAAGCGUGCGCAGGCGGUUUGCUAAGACCGAUGUGGAAUCCCCGGGCUCAACCUGGGAACUGCAUUGGUGACUGGCAGGCUAGAGUAUGGCAGAGGGGGGUAGAAUUCCACGUGUAGCAGUGAAAUGCGUAGAGAUGUGGAGGAAUACCGAUGGCGAAGGCAGCCCCCUGGGCCAAUACUGACGCUCAUGCACGAAAGCGUGGGGAGCAAACAGGAUUAGAUACCCCGGGUAGUCCCAU
This 475-nucleotide ribosomal RNA is filed under the name uncultured organism. RNAcentral describes it as "partial 16S ribosomal RNA". It matches the Rfam family "Bacterial small subunit ribosomal RNA", at positions 333 to 798 of the family's 1533-position model. The record is from RNAcentral.